Molecule: long non-coding RNA, 1671 nt
Organism: Apis florea (little honeybee)
Lineage: Eukaryota; Metazoa; Arthropoda; Insecta; Hymenoptera; Apidae
Source: RefSeq, a predicted model, not a curated record
GAAUUAAUAUUUAAAAAUAAUUUAUUUUUCGAAACAUCCUGUACAGUAAUAAAAAAAUGUAUUAAAAUAUUCUAAAAUAAUACGUCCAAAUUUCAUUAUAAUCUUCGACACCAAUCUCAGGUUUUAUGUCAGCUAGAAAAUUCAAAUUCUAGAAGUAUUUUAUACUUCAAUGAUGCAAAAUAAGCGUGUUACUUGCGAGAAGGUUUGUUUUCAUUACUUUAUAAAAGAACACCUAAAAGGUGAAUACUUUACGCAGGUUUCGCGCCAAAUAUUCGAAAUUAUUUACACAGUCAGCAAUUGAUUCGUUGACGAUUGAUUGGUGAGACAUCUGCCGAGGCGUCUGUGAUGCACGAAGACGUACUUCUUGUGGUUCUUGACGCGACGAUGACUGUACGUCGGUGAAAACUUCAUUCUUGCGGGUACAAAUUUACAGUUACGACGAAGAAAUAAUUGUGCAGACGCGUGUGAGAUGCAGAUGCAGCUGUGGUUCAUAUGCACAUAUACAUACGGAUACGUAUAUCGUGCGUGAUACAAAUAUACGUGUGAUUGUGUAUGUAGAUGCACAAAUGCGCGAGCUCUCUAAGUACCACAUAAAGUGUUAAUUAGACGAUUAUGUCGCCGAUGUUGCGAGAAUGAGUGAAUGUGUUGAAAACGAGAAUGAGAGAGAAGAAAGAAUGAAUUCAAGAGUAAAAUUGAAAUAUGAAAUUAAAUAAGAAGAACGAGAGAAAUAGAGUAUGUGUUAUGAGUGGAAGAGAAAGAGAAUGAAGACCACAGAGAAAACAUGCAGGUAUAUAUAAUCAGUGUUUAUGAACAAUCAUUGUUCUUUGUUUGAAAGGAGACAAAGCUGUGGGUAUGAUCUUUGCUAAUUCAUAUUAUCUAUGAUAUUCAAUAAAAAUUAUUUAAAUAUUGGUAGAUGCACUUUAUCUUCGAGCAACGUUAAAUUAUUAUUUUUUACGUCCAAUCGAUUGGGUGAUUUUUUGUGUUUAGAUAAGACGCGCAUAGAUGUUUCUAAACGUAUUUUUGUCAACUUUUGGCAUCGUUAAUCGUUACAAACGUAAUAUUUCGUAUUGUUCGCUCAUUGUACAAUAUUUCGAACAUAUCGUGUUCAUAGUAGCCAAGAAUCGUUGAUCCUUGUUUUCGUACAACGAUUAUUCUUCAGAUAGUUUCUUCUUUUUUGUCACAAAAAUAUAGGUGAAAUAAAACAUUGGUUAACGAAAAAAUUUGCGCUUCCGUCAUUUUACAUGAUAGCAGAUCGGUCAGAAGUUGAAUUUUUUUACUGAAAUCUAACCUAAAAAUACAAGAUUGAGGACGUGCAAUGGCGAGUGUGCCUUUUGCCAUAAUAUCGCAAAAAAAUUAUUCCUUUCUCAUUAAAACUGUUGAAAUUGUUAUAUAAGAUUGAUAUGAAUUUACUUAAAUAGAAAUUAAGUCUAAAAGGUCACUCUUUUUUUCAGCAAUAUCAAUGAGAUUUGGUUCCCUUGUCAUUGUCAACGUCCUUAUUGUAUGUAGUUGAAUGAUGCAGUAGUUUCAUAGGUAACGGUUGUUUCCACCGUUAGAUUUUGUUUAAAUCAUUGUUAUUUUGUCUUUUAUCUAUUUCCAUUCCGUAGCGAAGACUUGAAGCUUUGUAUAUGGUAUAUUUUAAUUUAUAAAUUAUAAAUCCAUUUUCAAAAUUUA